GUUGUAUGGUUAAGUGACUAAGCGUACACGGUGGAUGCCUAGGCAGUCAGAGGCGAUGAAGGACGUACUAACUUGCGAUAAGCGCAGAUAAGGCAGUAAGAGCCGUUUGAGUCUGCGAUUUCCGAAUGGGGAAACCCAACUGCAUAAGCAGUUACUGUUAACUGAAUACAUAGGUUAACAGAGCAAACCGGGGGAACUGAAACAUCUAAGUACCCCGAGGAGAAGAAAUCAACCGAGAUUCCGGUAGUAGCGGCGAGCGAACCUGGAUUAGCCCUUAAGCACUCGUUGAAGUAGGUGAACAAGCUGGAAAGCUUGGCGAUACAGGGUGAUAGCCCCGUAACCGACGCUUCAUCGAGCGUGAAAUCGAGUAGGGCGGGACACGUGAUAUCCUGUCUGAAUAUGGGGGGACCAUCCUCCAAGGCUAAAUACUCCUGACUGACCGAUAGUGAACCAGUACCGUGAGGGAAAGGCGAAAAGAACCCCUGUGAGGGGAGUGAAAUAGAACCUGAAACCGUGUACGUACAAGCAGUAGGAGCACCUUCGUGGUGUGACUGCGUACCUUUUGUAUAAUGGGUCAGCGACUUAUAUUCAGUGGCAAGGUUAACCGUAUAGGGGAGCCGUAGCGAAAGCGAGUCUUAACUGGGCGCUCAGUCUCUGGAUAUAGACCCGAAACCGGGUGAUCUAGCCAUGGGCAGGUUGAAGGUUGAGUAACAUCAACUGGAGGACCGAACCGACUAAUGUUGAAAAAUUAGCGGAUGACUUGUGGCUAGGGGUGAAAGGCCAAUCAAACUCGGAGAUAGCUGGUUCUCCCCGAAAGCUAUUUAGGUAGCGCCUCGGACGAAUACUACUGGGGGUAGAGCACUGUUAAGGCUAGGGGGUCAUCCCGACUUACCAACCCUUUGCAAACUCCGAAUACCAGUAAGUACUAUCCGGGAGACACACGGCGGGUGCUAACGUCCGUCGUGGAGAGGGAAACAACCCAGACCGCCAGCUAAGGUCCCAAAGUAUUGCUAAGUGGGAAACGAUGUGGGAAGGCUCAGACAGCUAGGAUGUUGGCUUAGAAGCAGCCAUCAUUUAAAGAAAGCGUAAUAGCUCACUAGUCGAGUCGGCCUGCGCGGAAGAUGUAACGGGGCUAAGCAAUACACCGAAGCUGCGGCAAUGCCUUUUAGGUAUUGGGUAGGGGAGCGUUCUGUAAGCCGUUGAAGGUGGUCUGUAAGGGCUGCUGGAGGUAUCAGAAGUGCGAAUGCUGACAUGAGUAACGACAAAGGGGGUGAAAAACCUCCUCGCCGGAAGACCAAGGGUUCCUGUCCAACGUUAAUCGGGGCAGGGUGAGUCGACCCCUAAGGUGAGGCCGAAAGGCGUAAUCGAUGGGAAACGGGUUAAUAUUCCCGUACUUCUGACUAUUGCGAUGGGGGGACGGAGAAGGCUAGGUGGGCCAGGCGACGGUUGUCCUGGUUCAAGUGCGUAGGCUUAAGAGUUAGGUAAAUCCGGCUCUUUCUAAGGCUGAGACACGACGUCGAGCUGCUACGGCAGUGAAGUCAUUGAUGCCAUGCUUCCAGGAAAAGCCUCUAAGCUUCAGAUAGUCAGGAAUCGUACCCCAAACCGACACAGGUGGUCGGGUAGAGAAUACCAAGGCGCUUGAGAGAACUCGGGUGAAGGAACUAGGCAAAAUGGUACCGUAACUUCGGGAGAAGGUACGCUCUUGAUGGUGAAGUCCCUUGCGGAUGGAGCUGACGAGAGUCGCAGAUACCAGGUGGCUGCAACUGUUUAUUAAAAACACAGCACUGUGCAAAAUCGCAAGAUGACGUAUACGGUGUGACGCCUGCCCGGUGCCGGAAGGUUAAUUGAUGGGGUUAGCGCAAGCGAAGCUCUUGAUCGAAGCCCCGGUAAACGGCGGCCGUAACUAUAACGGUCCUAAGGUAGCGAAAUUCCUUGUCGGGUAAGUUCCGACCUGCACGAAUGGCGUAAUGAUGGCCACGCUGUCUCCACCCGAGACUCAGUGAAAUUGAAAUCGCUGUGAAGAUGCAGUGUACCCGCGGCUAGACGGAAAGACCCCGUGAACCUUUACUACAGCUUGGCACUGAACAUUGAACCUACAUGUGUAGGAUAGGUGGGAGGCUAUGAAGACGUGACGC
This 2135-nucleotide ribosomal RNA is filed under the name Vibrio cholerae. Its description in RNAcentral is "partial 23S ribosomal RNA". It matches the Rfam family "Bacterial large subunit ribosomal RNA", at positions 1 to 2171 of the family's 2925-position model. Lineage: Bacteria; Pseudomonadati; Pseudomonadota; Gammaproteobacteria; Vibrionales; Vibrionaceae. The record is from RNAcentral.